RNAcentral lists this ribosomal RNA (2097 nucleotides) under Triticum aestivum (bread wheat). RNAcentral's name for it is "partial small subunit ribosomal RNA". The record is from RNAcentral. Lineage: Eukaryota; Viridiplantae; Streptophyta; Magnoliopsida; Poales; Poaceae.
AUGAUAAAUGGGCUACUCUUUGAGCUUUCUAGAAGUCCAAGGGACUAUGUUUUAUUUGUGGUGAGAAAUGGUCCCGUGAUCACCAAUGCAAGAGUUCAGUCCAAUUCCAUUUUGUGCCGGAGCUUAUUGACCAAUUGGACUCCAAUUCUUCUUCUUCUCACUAUGAGGAUGAUAAUGCUCCUCCAGAUCAUGUUAUGUCUAUUUCAGAAGCAGAAGUUGGCCUCAAAACGUCUGCUCAUACCAUCCAGCUUACAGUGCAAUUGCAGGGCAAACAACUGUUAUUUUUGGUUGACUCUGGCAGCACUAAUUCAUUCCUGGACAGUGCUUUACAGUCUGAAUUGCAAGGUGUUUGUUUCUAGCCCUCCUUCUACUGUCAAAGUAGCUGGAGGUUCUCAGUUAACUUCUUCUGCUCAGCUACUUAAUUGUUCUUGGGUUACUAGUGGCUCUGAGUUUCAGACUGACUUUAAGUUUCUUUCUCUGGGAGUUUAUGAUGGCAUUUUGGGAGUGGACUGGCUUAGUAUUCACAGCCCUAUGCAAGUGGAUUGGUCCCAAAAAUGGUUGUCAUUCAUGUACAAGGGAGAAUUGGUUCUGCUGCAAGGCUUAUUACCCCAUGACACUACAUUUGCUGUGGUUUCUUUAUCUGCUCUCAUCCCUGCUGAUACAGAUCCUAUUCCCGUAGAAGUUAAAUCAGUAUUGGAUCAGUUUGAAGUUGUCUUUUCUAUUCUUGAAGGAUUACCUCCUAGAAGAUAUUGUGAUCACCAAAUUCCUCUCAUUCCUGGUGCAAGACCAGUGACAGUAAGACCUUAUAGAGUGGCUCCUCACCUCAAAACCGAGCUGGAAAAACAAGUGGCUGAACUGUUGGAGCAAGGGUUGAUCAGGGUUAGUACAAGAGCCUUUUCUUCUCCAGUUUUGUUAGUCAGAAAGAAGGAUGGAACUUGGAGAUUGGUGCUUGAUCACAGACAUAUGAAUGCUAUCACUGUGAAAAGCAAAUUUCCCAUACCUGCUAUAGAUGAACUUCUGGAUGAAUUAGCAGGUGCUUCCUGGUUCUCUAAGUUUGAUCUGAAGGCAGGAUAUCAUCAGAUUCAAUUUUCCCCAGGUGAGGAAUUUAAAACAGCUUUUUCCACACAUAAUGGGCAUUAUGAAUUCCUGGUGCUUUCUAUGGGUUUUACUGGUGGUCCCAAUACAUUUCAAGGGGCUAUGAAUUAUACCUUGUCUCCAGUCUUGAGAGUUUGUGCUCUUGUCUUUUUUGAUGAUAUAUUAGUUUAUAGUAAAACAUUUCUUGAUCACUUAUCUCAUUUGAAACAAGUCCUUCAGUUAUUAGCAGAAAGUGAAUGGAAAGUUAAAAUGAGUAAAUGUGCUUUUGCUCAGAGGAAAAUAGCAUUUUUGGGCCAUGUUAUUAGUGAAGAAGGUGUAGCAACUGAUGACACCAAGAUUGUAACUGUCCAACAAUGGCCAACACCUACCAAUGUCAAAGAGGUUAGGGGUUUCUUAGGCCUUACAGGUUAUUACAGGAAAUUCAUUAGACACUAUGCAAUUAUUAGCAAGCCAUUGACUACUCUGUUAAAAAAGGGUGUGCCCUUCAUUUGGACCACUAUGGCAGAAGAAGCUUUCAUGGUUCUUAAGCAGGCUCUUGUCCAAGCUCCUGUUCUGGCUCUGCCAGAUUUUAACAAACCUUUUGUUAUUGAGACUGAUGCUUGUGAUGUGGGUGUUGGAGCAGUGUUAAUGCAAGAUGAUCAUCCUCUAGCUUUUAUCAGUAAGGCAUUAGGCCCCAGGACUCAAACACUCCCAGUUUAUGAAAAAGAAUAUUUGGCCAUAUUGUUAGAAGUGGAGCAAUGGAGGCCUUAUCUACUGGUGAAAGAAUUCAUUAUCAAGACUGAUCAGAAGAGCUUGGUUCAUCUCAAUAAUCAGAGAUUACACACUGCAUGGCAACAGAAAGCACUAACUAAGCUUAUGGGUUUAUCUUAUACCCUCGUUUAUAAAGAAGGCAGUGACAAUUCUGCAGCUGACUCCUUGUCUAGAAGACCACAUGAUUGUCCUGAACUUCUCUCCUUGGUACAUGUUCAGUCCGAUUGGCUUUCUGAGAUUAUAGCAAGCUAA